Molecule: ribosomal RNA, 391 nt
Filed under: uncultured bacterium
Lineage: Bacteria
Description: bacterial SSU rRNA
Rfam family: Bacterial small subunit ribosomal RNA
Source: RNAcentral
GACGAACGCUGGCGGCGUGCUUAACACAUGCAAGUCGAGCGGUAAGGCCCUUUCGGGGGUACGACGAGCGGCGAACGGGUGAGUAACACGUGGGUGACCUGCCCUCAGCUCUGGGAUAAGCCUGGGAAACCGGGUCUAAUACUGGAUAUGACUCCAUGACGCAUGUUGGUGGGGUGGAAAGCCUUGUGCGGCUGAGGAUGGGCCCGCGGCCUAUCAGCUUGUUGGGUGGGGUGACGGCCUACCAAGGCGACGACGGGUAGCCGGCCUGAGAGGGCGACCGGCCACACUGGGACUGAGACACGGCCCAGACUCCUACGGGAGGCAGCAGUGGGGAAUCUUGCGCAAUGGGCGAAAGCCUGACGCAGCGACGCCGCGUGAGGGAUGACGGCCU